Molecule: ribosomal RNA, 419 nt
Filed under: uncultured Pantoea sp.
Lineage: Bacteria; Pseudomonadati; Pseudomonadota; Gammaproteobacteria; Enterobacterales; Erwiniaceae
Description: bacterial SSU rRNA
Rfam family: Bacterial small subunit ribosomal RNA
Source: RNAcentral
CAGAGAGCUUGCUCUCGGGUGACGAGUGGCGGACGGGUGAGUAAUGUCUGGGGAUCUGCCCGAUAGAGGGGGAUAACCACUGGAAACGGUGGCUAAUACCGCAUAACGUCGCAAGACCAAAGAGGGGGACCUUCGGGCCUCUCACUAUCGGAUGAACCCAGAUGGGAUUAGCUAGUAGGCGGGGUAAUGGCCCACCUAGGCGACGAUCCCUAGCUGGUCUGAGAGGAUGACCAGCCACACUGGAACUGAGACACGGUCCAGACUCCUACGGGAGGCAGCAGUGGGGAAUAUUGCACAAUGGGCGCAAGCCUGAUGCAGCCAUGCCGCGUGUAUGAAGAAGGCCUUCGGGUUGUAAAGUACUUUCAGCGGGGAGGAAGGCGAUGGGGUUAAUAACCUUAUCGAUUGACGUUACCCGCAGA